GACUCCUACGGGAGGCAGCAGUGGGGAAUAUUGCACAAUGGGCGAAAGCCUGAUGCAGCGACGCCGCGUGAGGGAUGACGGCCUUCGGGUUGUAAACCUCUUUCAGCAGGGAAGAAGCGAAAGUGACGGUACCUGCAGAAGAAGCGCCGGCUAACUACGUGCCAGCAGCCGCGGUAAUACGUAGGGUGCGAGCGUUGUCCGGAAUUAUUGGGCGUAAAGAGCUCGUAGGCGGUUUGUCGCGUCGAUUGUGAAAGCCCGGGGCUUAACCCCGGGUCUGCAGUCGAUACGGGCAGGCUAGAGUUCGGCAGGGGAGACUGGAAUUCCUGGUGUAGCGGUGAAAUGCGCAGAUAUCAGGAGGAACACCGGUGGCGAAGGCGGAUCUCUGGGCCGAUACUGACGCUGAGGAGCGAAAGCGUGGGGAGCGAACAGGAUUAGAUACCCUGGUAGUCCACGCCGUAAACGGUGGGCACUAGGUGUGGGCAACAUUCCACGUUGUCCGUGCCGCAGCUAACGCAUUAAGUGCCCCGCCUGGGGAGUACGGCCGCAAGGCUAAAACUCAAAGGAAUUGACGGGGGCCCGCACAAGCGGCGGAGCAUGUGGCUUAAUUCGACGCAACGCGAAGAACCUUACCAAGGCUUGACAUACAUCGGAAACGGCCAGAGAUGGUCGCCCCCUUGUGGUCGGUGUACAGGUGGUGCAUGGCUGUCGUCAGCUCGUGUCGUGA
RNAcentral lists this ribosomal RNA (724 nucleotides) under Streptomyces cheonanensis. Its description in RNAcentral is "bacterial SSU rRNA". It matches the Rfam family "Bacterial small subunit ribosomal RNA", at positions 334 to 1070 of the family's 1533-position model. The record is from RNAcentral. Lineage: Bacteria; Bacillati; Actinomycetota; Actinomycetes; Kitasatosporales; Streptomycetaceae.